UCCCCGAUAGCUCAGUUGGUAGAGCAGUUGACUGUUAAUCAAUUUGUCGCAGGUUCGAGCCCUGCUCGGGGAGCCA
RNAcentral lists this transfer RNA (76 nucleotides) under Gammaproteobacteria bacterium. RNAcentral describes it as "tRNA-Asn". It matches the Rfam family "tRNA". From Rfam's summary of the family: Transfer RNA (tRNA) molecules are approximately 80 nucleotides in length. Their secondary structure includes four short double-helical elements and three loops (D, anti-codon, and T loops). Lineage: Bacteria; Pseudomonadati; Pseudomonadota; Gammaproteobacteria. The record is from RNAcentral. RNAcentral also lists the same sequence under 2 other names.